CCAUCGUUUCCGGUCCGAAUAUAGAAGUGGAAAAAAAAAUUCGCGUUCACCAAAAGGAUUUUAAUUAGUUUUGUUGUUGCCUUUCUCUUUUAUAAAGAGUAUAGUUUCUUCAGUUAUCGAUAGUUUUCGUAGAAAUUUAUCAGACAGAGCUGCAAUAUGACUAACGUUGUAAUGGCGGAACGGAAAUUUUGGCGCUCGAAUCGCAAAUACGUUUAGCUCAUACUAUGGCCGAACAGUCGUUUUAUUUUUUUUACAUUUUACAGUGCUUUAUAAAAUUCCAUAAUACAUUGGAACUGCUUAUAAUCUAUUGAGUGAAUCAAAAAUUUAGAUUAUUAUCAUUGAAGUUAUCUAGAAUAGUCGAUCCAAUACAACAUUUCUGCUAUGCGAUGAGCUAACUUAACGCAGUGAUACAUCGAUAUAUAAAUACUAAGUUCAGCUAAGCUGUCGAAAAGUUGUCACGUUGCUAAUUAGGAACAUUACACAAGUUUUUUUUUUACAUUCUUUAUAUUUUAAAUUGUGUUGCAAAUAAAAAACGUACAAAAUGAAAAGACAUUAUCCAAGAUCAGGGACUAUGACAAAACUAAGAUCUAAUCUUGAUCAGUCAAUGAUAGACAGUAUUAUGAGUCGUAUAAGACCCUAUCUACAACUGGAAGAUGAUUUUAAUGAUGA
This is a long non-coding RNA of Phymastichus coffea, 669 nucleotides long. RefSeq lists it as uncharacterized. The transcript has 3 exons. NCBI's taxonomy places the organism in Eukaryota, Metazoa, Arthropoda, Insecta, Hymenoptera, Eulophidae. The record is from RefSeq and is a predicted model, not a curated record.